UUUUUUCUCUUCCCGAUCCCUUUGAGACAAGAAAUGCUAUUGGGGAGUUGGAUGAGCUUUACAAGCCCUUUUUCCCCAAAUCUAAUCAAUAUCUUUAUUCUCCACAACCACAACCUGCCCCCAUUUCUUCUCUUGCCGUCUCUAAGGAACAAACGCAGAUAAAGCAGCCCAAGCAAUCUCAUGCAGCCUCCGUCUCCACUGCAAAUUCUCAUACUCCUCGAUCUAAAAGAAGGAAGAACCAGCUAAAGAAGAUAUGCCAAGUACCAGCAGAGUCUCUUUCUUCAGAUGUGUGGGCAUGGCGAAAAUACGGGCAAAAACCCAUCAAAGGCUCUCCAUACCCGAGGAGUUAUUACAGAUGUAGCACCUCAAAGGGGUGUUUGGCCAGGAAACAAGUUGAACGAAACAGAUCCGACCCGGGAAUGUUCAUAGUAAGCUACACAGGCGAGCACAACCACCCUGCACCCACCCACCGAAACUCGCUCGCUGGUAGUCCCCGCCAGAAGUCC
Molecule: unclassified non-coding RNA, 506 nt
Filed under: Hevea brasiliensis (rubber tree)
Lineage: Eukaryota; Viridiplantae; Streptophyta; Magnoliopsida; Malpighiales; Euphorbiaceae
Source: RNAcentral